GCUCUUGUUCCCCUCAGAGAGCAGGGUGUUCGCAUUCUCAACUAUCUAGACAAUUGGGUGAUACUAGCACAAUCUUGGGAUCAGUUGUGCGAGCACAGGGACCUGGUGCUCUGGCAACUCAGCCUGUUGGGCCUUCGGGUCAACUGGGAAAAGAGCAAACUCUCGCCGACGCAGAGGAUCUCUUUUCUCGGUAUGGAGUUGGAUUCGGUCGAACAGACAGCACACCUCACAGAGGAACGUGCGCGGUCGGUGCUAGCCUGCUUGAAUACAUUCGGCCUGUUACAUAUGAGACCGCUCCAGCACUGGCUUUAUGGCAGAGUCCCGAGGUGGGCGUGGAAGCGCGGCACUCACCGGGUCCAAGUUACACCGGCCUGUCGCCAAACCCUCACCCUUUGGUCAGAUCUUGCAGGGGUGCCCCUAGAGCAGAUCUCCAGGCAUUCUGUGGUUUACAUGGAUGCCUCCACCACCGGCUGGGGGGCCACGUACAAUGGGCAUGCAGUCUCAGGGGUUUGGACGGGCCCGCAGCUGCAGUGGCACUUCAAUUGCCUAGAGUUGUUAGCAGUGCGCCUUGCCUCGAAACUGUCUCAAAGGUCCCGUAUGAGGCAAGCACGUGCUGGUCCAAAUGGACAACACAGCGACCGUUGCGUACAUCAACUGAGAAGGUUGUCUGCGCUCCCGUCGCAUGUCACAACUCGCCCGCCACCUCCUCCUUUGGAGUCGGAAGGUUCUGAGGUCACUUCGUGCCGUUCACAUUCCGGGCCUGCUCAACCGUACAGCCGACGAGCUGUCUCGAGCAAUGAUCCCGGGAGAAUGGCGACUCCAUCCCCUGACGGUCCAGCUGAUUUGGAGACGGUUCGGAGCCGCUCAGGUAGACCUGUUUGCUUCUCCAGAGACCACUCACUCUGCCACUCCCACUCACUGCCAGUUGUUCUACUCCCUGACCGACGGAACUCUUGGCACGGACACACUGGCACACAGCUGGCCACAGGGCCUACGAAAAUACUCGCACAGACACUGUGCAAAGUCCGGAAGGAUGGGGAGCGAGUCUUGCUAGUGGCGCCGUAUUGGCCCACUCGGACCUGGUUCCCCGAACUAGUGCUCCUCGCCACAGCCCCUGUUUGGCCGAUUACUCUGAGGAAGGAUCUACUGACUCAGAGACGGGGCACCGUUUGGCACCCGCGUCCAGACCUUUGGCAACUCAAUGUCUGGUCCCUGGACCGCACGCGGAGGUUCUAGGUGACCUACCCCAGGAGGUAGUGAACACCAUCACUUCAGCAAGAGCACCGUCUACGAGACACGCUUACGCCUUGAAGUGGAACCUGUUUGUCGAGUGGUGUUGUUCUCGCCGAGAAGACCCCCAAAGAUGCCCGAUUGCGGUCCUGCUUUCCUUUCUUCAGCAAGGGCUGGAGCGAAGGCUGUCUCCCUCCACCCUCAAAGUCCAG
This is a long non-coding RNA of Cyprinus carpio (common carp), 1442 nucleotides long. Lineage: Eukaryota; Metazoa; Chordata; Actinopteri; Cypriniformes; Cyprinidae. The record is from Ensembl.